UCUUUUAAUUAAAGGCUUGUAUGAAUGGUUGGACAAAAAGUAAGCUGUCUUCAGUUAUAGAAAUUGAAUUUGACUUUUAAGUGAAAAGGCUUAAAUAAAACAAAGUGACGAUAAGACCCUAUAAAGCUUUAUAGUGUAGCUUUUUAUUAUAAAUUAUAAAAUUGUAUAACUUAAUUUAAAGUAAAACUUUUUCGUUGGGGCGACGGAAAUAUAACAGAAAUAACUGUUUUUAUAUAAAUAAAACAAAUAUAUUUGGCCUAAAAUGAUCCUUUGCUAAAGAUUAAAAGAUUAAGUUACUUUAGGGAUAACAGCGUAAUCUUCUUUGAGAGUUCAUAUCGACAAGAAGGGUUGCGACCUCGAUGUUGAAUUAAGGUUCCUUUAUGGUGUAGCAGUUAUAAUUGGAGGUCUGUUCGACCUUUAAAUCCUUACAUGAUUU
Molecule: ribosomal RNA, 436 nt
Filed under: Allosergestes pectinatus
Lineage: Eukaryota; Metazoa; Arthropoda; Malacostraca; Decapoda; Sergestidae
Description: partial large subunit ribosomal RNA
Rfam family: Bacterial large subunit ribosomal RNA
Source: RNAcentral